Molecule: unclassified non-coding RNA, 328 nt
Filed under: soil metagenome
Description: partial contains 5.8S ribosomal RNA, internal transcribed spacer 2, and large subunit ribosomal RNA
Rfam family: 5.8S ribosomal RNA (bases 1-119)
Source: RNAcentral
GAUGAAGAACGCAGCGAAAUGCGAUACGUAAUGUGAAUUGCAAAUUCAGUGAAUCAUCGAGUCUUUGAACGCACAUUGCGCCCCCUGGUAUUCCGGGGGGCAUGCCUGUCCGAGCGUCAUUACAACCCUCAAGCUCAGCUUGGUGUUGGGCCCCGCCGCCCCGGCGGGCCCUAAAGUCAGUGGCGGUGCCGUCCGGCUCCGAGCGUAGUAAUUCUUCUCGCUCUGGAGGUCCGGUCGUGUGCUCGCCAGCAACCCCCAAUUUUUUUCAGGUUGACCUCGGAUCAGGUAGGGAUACCCGCUGAACUUAAGCAUAUCAAUAAGCGGAGGA